Molecule: ribosomal RNA, 517 nt
Filed under: uncultured bacterium
Lineage: Bacteria
Description: bacterial SSU rRNA
Rfam family: Bacterial small subunit ribosomal RNA
Source: RNAcentral
AGAACUUUCCAGAGAUGGAUUGGUGCCUUCGGGAACUCUGAGACAGGUGCUGCAUGGCUGUCGUCAGCUCGUGUUGUGAAAUGUUGGGUUAAGUCCCGCAACGAGCGCAACCCUUAUCCUUUGUUGCCAGCGGUUAGGCCGGGAACUCAAAGGAGACUGCCAGUGAUAAACUGGAGGAAGGUGGGGAUGACGUCAAGUCAUCAUGGCCCUUACGAGUAGGGCUACACACGUGCUACAAUGGCGCAUACAAAGAGAAGCGACCUCGCGAGAGCAAGCGGACCUCAUAAAGUGCGUCGUAGUCCGGAUUGGAGUCUGCAACUCGACUCCAUGAAGUCGGAAUCGCUAGUAAUCGUGGAUCAGAAUGCCACGGUGAAUGCGUUCCCGGGCCUUGUACACACCGCCCGUCACACCAUGGGAGUGGGUUGCAAAAGAGGUAGGUAGCUUAACCUUCGGGAGGGCGCUUACCACUUUGUGAUUCAUGACUGGGGUGAAGUCGUAACAAGGUAGGCGUAGAUGA